AAAAGAACCAAAUGCAAUAAUCAUUGCCCCUGCAUUUGAAACAGGCAAUGUACAACGCUAAAAAUAAAACCAAGAAAGUCCGAUUGGCGUUUCUAAUUUAUUGCAUUUGAAGGCUGCAAAUAUGAAACUGCUAGAAAUUCUUCAAAUAAGAAGAAUAAUCUGCCAAAUUACUCACAAAUCAUCCACAUUGAGAUCAAUGAUUGAUGGGAAGCAUCAACGUUCAACAAGGUUAGAAAAGCUUUCAUGGUUUGAUGGUAUAUAAGUUUCAUCCCCACAGCCUCCACCCGGUAUUAUUUUUAUUUCUUGAGAAAUGAGGAACCAAAACAAUAUAUGAUGAGAUACCAAAACCAUUGAUCAGGUGCUGAGUGAGAUGGGGCUUCUAAUGUAGCAGAGAAAACCUAGCUAAACCAUCGUGAGUGAGGUAAAGAAACCAUCAUUGAUGGGCUAACUUUCUGAUGUAUCUG
Molecule: unclassified non-coding RNA, 464 nt
Filed under: Hevea brasiliensis (rubber tree)
Lineage: Eukaryota; Viridiplantae; Streptophyta; Magnoliopsida; Malpighiales; Euphorbiaceae
Source: RNAcentral